Molecule: ribosomal RNA, 164 nt
Filed under: Aconitum ciliare
Lineage: Eukaryota; Viridiplantae; Streptophyta; Magnoliopsida; Ranunculales; Ranunculaceae
Description: 5.8S rRNA
Rfam family: 5.8S ribosomal RNA
About the family: 5.8S ribosomal RNA (5.8S rRNA) is a component of the large subunit of the eukaryotic ribosome. It is transcribed by RNA polymerase I as part of the 45S precursor that also contains 18S and 28S rRNA. Functionally, it is thought that 5.8S rRNA may be involved in ribosome translocation.
Source: RNAcentral
CAAACGACUCUCGGCAACGGAUAUCUCGGCUCUUGCAUCGAUGAAGAACGUAGCGAAAUGCGAUACUUGGUGUGAAUUGCAGAAUCCCGUGAACCAUCGAGUCUUUGAACGCAAGUUGCNCCCGAGGCCAUUAGGUCGAGGGCACGUCUGCCUGGGCGUCACAC